ACACAGCAAUAGCUUUGGCUUCAUUACUCAGCUCUGAAAUUAAAUGGGGCAAGAGAGAGACUCACUCUCUUCAAUAUAAAGGGAAAAGUAAACAUGUCUUUCUACCCUGAAAGCCUACUUGACCCAGUUCACGGCCAGCACCCAGAUAUGAGAGCAUGAUAGAAGAUAAAGGAGGGAGAAAUGAAGGUAGAAAGCAGAUACAAUACAAUGAGUAACCACAGAAAACUGUCCUGCUAAGUCUAAUCCUGAUUGCGGUUGCUGUGGCACAAGCAUCUCCCAGAUAUCUUCCUUCUGCUGUGGUCUGGACCUAAACCAUGAACCACAACCCCCUCCUCCUGAGACAUCAGCCAAUAAAGUCUUCUCCUUCCUCAGACAUAGGCGAAAAACAACAAAAAAAACCAACUUACCUCUUCCUACAUAUGCCUGGAUUUGAGUCCUGAACGACUGACAAAGGCCUAUUAAGUCUUCCUAGCCCUUCUGCUUUUUUUUCCUAUAUUAAUUUUUCUCUAGAGCCACUCUGAAGGAUGCCCCCUGUGAUUCAAGGGAAUUUAAUCAGACAUAAUAAAUGACCAAGUGCAAUCUCCAUCUUUUUAGCUAAUUUGUUUCAUUAACGUAUUAGUUAAUUAUUGGUUUUUCUUUUACUGUACAUCAUAUUGAUUAUGCAUUAGAUCUUCAGAGCACUAAUGGAAAUCUGGAUAUGUCUUCCAUUAUUGAGAUAUUUACUAUAAAACACAGUCUGGAACAGAUUAGAUAGCCACACCAAAGUAGUAUGAAGGUCAGGCUACUUAAAAGCACUAUUAAGUCAUAUUUUCUUUAAUAAAAAUGAAAUAAAGAUCUUCCCACCCUGCCUCCCUUUAAAUAGAAAUCAAGUCUGUACUGGUGCCUUUACCACAAUGAUGAGUUUCACUUAGACCGAUUAUCUUAUGAUAAUUUGUUCAUAUAACCAUACGUAAAUGAAAGGUUUUAGCUUUUUACUUGCUUUUCUUCCAGGAUAAAUCUACAGUCAUUUAUUGCUUUUUAAAUGAAAGUUGAGCUGCCUUCUGCACAGUACAGCCUCAAUAAGUGUGGUGAUCAUUAUUAUGAAGUUGUUGAGAACUUCCUUCCCAGCUGAACUCUGGGUCAGGUGGCUACAUACGCAUGUAGUCACUUUGAGGGCUACAGGCUCACAGAAUAUUUCUAGGACAUGUUAAAUCCUUUCUGCACUCAACUGUCACAGUGCUGUGAUUACGCAGAUCCAGAAUGCACUGGUGGGUAAUGACUGAGCUUACUGUUCAGUCCGAGUCCCACAGAUUAGAACUGCCAAGCUACCAAAGGUAGACAGCCUAGAACCUAAAUUGAUGGACUUCUGAUACAGUUACAUACAAAAUGCAUUUCAUCCUUAAGUUUCACAGUUUUAGACACCAUCUCAUUGGUUGUUGUUUUGUUUCUAUUUUCAUGUCUUUUCAAACCACUGAAAGUUGACAUCAGUGAAAAGCAUAGUUUAGCUUCAUUUAACAAUUUUUUAAUUGAAAUUCAAAGACAUUUCACUGUAAUGCCAUUACCCACUUGCCAUUUUCUUUUUUUGGAUUACACAACAUUUGUUAUUUUUCUGAAGUUACAAGAUUGCAGAAACAGAGGUCUGAAGAAAAAAAAACAUUUUUGAUUAGCAUACUUUAUCACUGCAAAAAAAGUCUUUUAAAUAUAAUCCUUAAAAAAAUGAGUAGAGAUAGGAGAAGAUUCCAGAAUAAUUUAACUCUGUGUAUGUUUAAUAUUUCAGAUGAAUAAAUCUAAACUGAAACCA
Long non-coding RNA from Numida meleagris (helmeted guineafowl), 1780 nucleotides. RefSeq lists it as uncharacterized. The record is from RefSeq and is a predicted model, not a curated record. Lineage: Eukaryota; Metazoa; Chordata; Aves; Galliformes; Numididae. The transcript has 2 exons.